RNAcentral lists this long non-coding RNA (272 nucleotides) under Musa acuminata (dwarf banana). RNAcentral's name for it is "long non-coding RNA (MACU_LNC010686)". Lineage: Eukaryota; Viridiplantae; Streptophyta; Magnoliopsida; Zingiberales; Musaceae. The record is from RNAcentral.
CCGGAACUAGCCGAGAAUGAGUAGGGAGCUUGCCGAAGGGUUUUUCGGAAGCUCGCCGGAAGGUUCGUUGGAAGUUCGCGGAGCUCACCGAGAAAGAUCGGAGCUUACCGAAGAAGCUCGUUGGAACUCGCCAAGAUCAAAUCGUGAAGUCUAGGAGCUUGCCGGGAGUCCGCAGAAUGGUUUCCGAGAGUUUAUCGGAAGACCGUCGGAAGUUCGCUGGAAGCUCGCCGGAAGAAGUCUUGACUUACGGACUUUGUAAUAGCUUAGAAAAU